CAGCAGCAGUGGCAUGCAAGCACAUAAAUUCAACCCCUCAAAGAACAUACAUUAGAACAGAUUUUGUGAAACAAUGACUCAGGAAAGAGUAAAGGGGAAUACCUCAUGUUCGUCCAAAAGCUUCGAAGCAAAACUCGAUUCACAACAAUAUAGAGUUAUACCUACCUCAACCAAUUCCUCCUCUAGUAGUGAUGAUACAGUCUGAUUAAAGCUGUUAGAUAGAAAGAAGGAAACAGUACUCGUAGGAACUCGAGAUUGAAAACGUCUACCUCGUGGGAUAUAAUAUUAUCUACAGAACCGACUAAUACAGACUUCAAGAGGACCUCCUGCGACUGUUCCUAGCAGGGGAUCGUGAUCUGCUCCGGUCACGGUACCGAUCCCUUCCAUUACGUGGACCCUUUCCACCGUUCCUGUCUCUCGAUCUAUCAUAAUCACGUUCACGUUCACGGUACCUGUCCCGCUCUUUGUACCUGUCUCGGUCAUGAUACCGAUCCCUUUCACCUGAAACACUCCUACUCCUGUCAGAUUCAUUCUCCUCACCUCGUUGAUUCCUUCCUUCUUCAGCUUCUUUCUCCCUAGCUAA
This 583-nucleotide long non-coding RNA is filed under the name Linum usitatissimum (flax). RNAcentral describes it as "long non-coding RNA (LUSI_LNC001880)". Lineage: Eukaryota; Viridiplantae; Streptophyta; Magnoliopsida; Malpighiales; Linaceae. The record is from RNAcentral.